Long non-coding RNA from Sapajus apella (tufted capuchin), 105 nucleotides. RefSeq lists it as uncharacterized. Lineage: Eukaryota; Metazoa; Chordata; Mammalia; Primates; Cebidae. The record is from RefSeq and is a predicted model, not a curated record. The transcript has 4 exons.
UGAAAACUUAAGUAAUGAUACUUGAUGUUAAGUAAUGAUACAUGAUUUGAAUUAAGAAUUGUAGCCAAUAAUAGAAGAGCUGCCACAAGGCAGCACCUGGUUAAC